AGACUGGUAGCUCAGUUGGAAGAGUGCCACUGUACUAGACUGGAGACCACAGGUUCAAUCCCUGCCUAGUCUG
Molecule: non-coding RNA, 73 nt
Organism: Paxillus rubicundulus Ve08.2h10
Lineage: Eukaryota; Fungi; Basidiomycota; Agaricomycetes; Boletales; Paxillaceae
Source: Rfam